CCUACGGGUGGCAGCAGUGGGGAAUAUUGGGCAAUGGGCGCAAGCCUGAACCAGCAACGCCGCGUGAAGGAAGAAGGCUUUCGGGUUGUAAACUUCUUUUGUCAGGGACGAAGCAAGUGACGGUACCUGACGAAUACGCCACGGCUAACUACGUGCCAGCAGCCGCGGUAAUACGUAGGUGGCAAGCGUUAUCCGGAUUUACUGGGUGUAAAGGGUGUGUAGGCGGGACUGUAAGUCAGAUGUGAAAAUCAAGGGCUCAACCUGUGGACUGCAUUUGAAACUGUAGUUCUUGAGUGCAGGAGAGGCAGGCGGAAUUCCUAGUGUAGCGGUGAAAUGCGUAGAUAUUAGGAGGAACACCAGUGGCGAAGGCGGUCUGCUGGACAGCAACUGACGCUGAGGCGCGAAAGCGUGGGGAGCAAACAGGAUUAGAUACCCCAGUAGUC
RNAcentral lists this ribosomal RNA (443 nucleotides) under uncultured bacterium. RNAcentral describes it as "partial 16S ribosomal RNA". It matches the Rfam family "Bacterial small subunit ribosomal RNA", at positions 338 to 795 of the family's 1533-position model. The record is from RNAcentral.